Molecule: long non-coding RNA, 780 nt
Filed under: Marmota monax (woodchuck)
Lineage: Eukaryota; Metazoa; Chordata; Mammalia; Rodentia; Sciuridae
Source: RNAcentral
GUGAAGGUGUGCUGCUGGCUUUGCCUGCUCAAAGAAAACUACUUCUGGUGGGUCACAUGAACAGAGAUGGGAAAGUGUUUCCCAGAUCAAUAGCUACAUGCCAGUUAUAAGUGAAUGUUCUAAUUUUCUUAAGCAAUGAAACCACAUCUGGUAUAGCACUGCAGUUGGAGUCAACACCUGAUUAAGCUUAUAGGAAGUCAUUGUUAUUCUCCAAGAUCCAUCUCUCUCCUGUAUAGGCAAUAGGUGAGUCAAAUGGGGAUGCAGUGGGAAUUCCACCCUGUGUCCUUCAAGUCCUUGAAAGUGGCACUAAUCUCUGCAGUCCCACCAAGAAGGGGUAUUACUUUGGUUUGCAAUUUUUCUAUGUUAAGGCAAUUCUGGUAGCUUUCAUUUGGCUUAACAUAGUUGUUUAAUUCCAUAUGUCAGGAAGUCACUGUGGCGAUUCUGCUAGCUACUAAGUGCACCUAUUCCAACUUUUGCAUUCCAUAACUGGGGAAAUGACCAUGGUGUGGGUUUGGAGACUCACUAGUUCCACUGUGAAAUGUGUGUAAACUGAAAUUCCACCGAUCACCUGACCUCUCUUAGCCUUUACUCUGACAGUUGGGCCACAGUGAUGUUUCUGGUCUCUUGGAAUCAGCGCCAGUUCAGUGCCAGUGUCUAGUAGACCCUGAAAGAUCUGAUUAUUUCCCUUUUCCCAAUGCAGUUACCCUGGCCAGAGGCCAUAUUAUAGGUCCCUUUGGGGAAGACUGGGAGAAAGAUUUAACAGUAUAAAUUUUUCACAAU